RNAcentral lists this ribosomal RNA (256 nucleotides) under uncultured bacterium. RNAcentral describes it as "partial 16S ribosomal RNA". It matches the Rfam family "Bacterial small subunit ribosomal RNA", at positions 524 to 776 of the family's 1533-position model. The record is from RNAcentral.
UACGGAGGGUGCGAGCGUUUGUCCGGAAUCACUGGGCGUAAAGGGCGCGUAGGUGGCGGAGCAAGUCAACGGUGAAAGCUCGACGCUCAACGUCGAGUCGGCCGUCGAGACUGCCUUGCUCGAGCACUGUAGAGGCAGAUGGAAUUCCGGGGUGUAGCGGUGGAAUGCGUAGAUAUCGUUUGGAACGCCAAUGGUGAAAACAGGUUGCUGGGGAGUGUGCUGACGCUGAGACACGAAAGCCAGGGGAGCGAACGGG